Pocillopora damicornis (cauliflower coral) is the source of this 352-nucleotide long non-coding RNA. Lineage: Eukaryota; Metazoa; Cnidaria; Anthozoa; Scleractinia; Pocilloporidae. The record is from RefSeq and is a predicted model, not a curated record.
GUCAACAAAUGCGAGCGAAAUUUUUAACGGAAAAUUUUUAAUAUAUAUAGGAAUAUUACGUUCUAAAAACAUCUGGGACAAUUUGCGCGCAGAUUUGAAAGUCUAUUCCUCUCGCGUUUUUCCGCCCAGCUGUCGGUUUGGGAGACAAUGAUGAUUUUGACGCAACAACCGCGACAAACUAUCUUCCUGAGCAUGUUCGUUUUUGUCAUCAGUGGAACAUGGGGAUAUCAAUCUGGAAUUGAAAUGAUUAAUGUGACAUUCUGUGGAAAGUACGAUAAGCCUCCAAAGUUGAAAGUUUCUCCAUGGCCUUUCAUUCCAGCUGGAAAUCAUUUUAAAGUUAAUAUGACAUUUA